CCUGGCUGAGGUAGUAGUUUGUGCUGUUUGUCGGGUCGCCACACUGCCCGCUAUGGAGAUGACUGCGCAAACCACUGCCUUGCCAGA
This 87-nucleotide microRNA precursor is filed under the name Astyanax mexicanus (Mexican tetra). RNAcentral's name for it is "let-7 microRNA precursor family". It matches the Rfam family "let-7 microRNA precursor family". Rfam says of the family: This family represents the microRNAs (miRNA) let-7 and mir-98. let-7 was identified from a study of developmental timing in C. elegans, and was later shown to be part of a much larger class of non-coding RNAs termed miRNAs. The extents of the hairpin precursors are not generally known and are estimated based on hairpin prediction. The record is from Rfam by way of RNAcentral. Lineage: Eukaryota; Metazoa; Chordata; Actinopteri; Characiformes; Acestrorhamphidae.